This is a non-coding RNA of Danio rerio (zebrafish), 117 nucleotides long. NCBI's taxonomy places the organism in Eukaryota, Metazoa, Chordata, Actinopteri, Cypriniformes, Danionidae. The record is from Rfam.
UGCCACAGCCAUAUCAAUCUGCAGCCCAAGACCGGUUACUCACUUAAGCUAAGCAGGGCUGAGCCUGGUCAGUACCUGGAUGGGAGACCACUAGGGAACACUAGGUUGCUGUUGGAU